CAGGUACGUAACAUCCCUAUGUGAACAUUUGCAUUCUGUCACGGCCACUCGUGAACCGGAUGUGGCAGCAAUAUCGUGGGUACCGAUUGUUUCUGGUUCCAUUGCAUGGCUCUGUAGGUCUCUACAUGGUUGCAGUUGAAAGGCAAGCACGAAACAGACACCGGAUGGUGGCUGAAGCUUUAAUGAGUCUGGAUGACGAUGGCGACGAUGUGUAGUAGGUGUUGGUGGUGCAAAUACCAAGCGAAUUCUUAAAGGGGCUGGUUUACGCGUCAAACCUGCAAUGGUAGAUUGUUUGCAGUCAGAUUAUAUGCUUGGUAUGUUGAGCAGGGUGUUCUGGUUCUUGCUUUAUAAGUCUUUGAAUAUGUCUGGCAAGGUGAAACCAGAAACCAUAGAUCACGGCCAUCUUGAAAUUACCCCCUGACUCGAGUCGGCAGCUAGACCCUGUUUCUGUACUAGACAAUCAUUGAAAGACUUUCAAAGGCCUUGUAGAGUUGGGUAUGUACCCUCGUGUCCGUGGGAGCUUCCAUAGGGAUUCGCUUCUGGGUAUUUACGAGUCGUGUUUCGAUCCUUAUAUCUAGCCCGCUCGCCCACGCCUGUAAAUGGUGCUUAGAUUGCUUUGUUGUGGUCUAUCAGUCUCUGCACACCUUGUAGAGAUGCGGGCGAGCCGGCCGAAUUUUACCCGGGCCGAGCUUGGCUCUUAUGGCUUUGUUCCGCAUAAUUAAUAUAUUAUAUUUUGGACAAGUUGACAGAUUGUCGACUGGAUAUUAUUCUUUAACAUUCUCAAUAUUAUAAUACUGAAGAGAGCCGUAGUAGACUUUUGUCUUUUAAGCUAACUCGCCAUAGCCGCCGCCGGAAAUCCCCAGAAUCUUCAUCAAUGGCGACGAACCCCAACGGCAGCUCUGGUAAAAUGGAAAUCGUAGUAUUCCCAUGGCUAGCAAUGGGUCACUUGAUCCCCUUCCUCCACUUCUCCAAGCUCUUAGCACAAAACGGCCACAAUAUCCACUUCGUCUCCACUCCCAAAAACCUCUCCAGACUACCCAAACUACCCCUCCGCCUCUCCUCCCAAAUCACCUUUGUGCCCUUCCCUUUACCGCCCGUCCCCAACCUACCUCCCGACGCCGAGUCCUCCAUGGACGUCCCUUACAACAACCAGCAGCUCCUCAAGAAGGCCUUCGACUCCCUCCGCCCUCCGCUGACUGAUUUCCUUCGCCAGCUUAAGCCCGAUUGGGUCAUCUACGACUACGCCUCUCACUGGCUUCCUUCAGCCGCCGCCGAUGCCGGCGGUGGCGGCAUCGGCUGCGCUUUCUUCAGUCUCUUCACUGCAACAACGCUCUGCUUCGUCGGUCCGCCUGGAGGCGAUUCAAGACGGAACGCGGAGGAUUUCACGGUGGUCCCUGAUUGGAUUCCGAUUGAAAUAAAAUCAAAUAUCGCGUAUCGCCUUCAUGAAGUUUCCAAGUAUGUGGAGAAGACCGAUGAGGAUACCUCCGGUCCUUCCGAUCAGAUCCGUUUCGCCGUCGCUAUGGAGGAGAGCAACGCCUUGCUCGUCAGAAGCUCGCGGGAGUUUGAACCUGAGUGGUUUGAACUUCUCGGUCAGAUGUAUAAGGAAAAGACGAUUAUACCCGUAGGAUUCCUCCCGCCGCCAAUAGCAGCAAACGACAAGGAGGAUCAAAACGACGCCGUUUGGAGGGAGAUCCGAGAUUGGUUGGACAAGCAGCGCG
RNAcentral lists this long non-coding RNA (1718 nucleotides) under Linum usitatissimum (flax). RNAcentral describes it as "long non-coding RNA (LUSI_LNC003817)". The record is from RNAcentral. Lineage: Eukaryota; Viridiplantae; Streptophyta; Magnoliopsida; Malpighiales; Linaceae.